CUAAGAAUAUUCCGCAAUGGACGAAAGUCUGACGGAGCGACGCCGCGUGGAUGAAGAAGGCCGAAAGGUUGUAAAGUCCUUUUGCUGGGGAAGAAUAAGUCUGGGAGGGAAUGCCCGGAUGAUGACAUGAACCGGCGAAUAAGCCCCGGCUAACUACGUGCCAGCAGCCGCGGUAACACGUAGGGGGCGAGCGUUGUUCGGAAUUACUGGGCGUAAAGGGCAUGUAGGCGGCCUUGUAAGCCUGGCGUGAAAUUCCACGGCUUAACCGUGGGAAUGCGUUGGGAACUGCGAGGCUUGAGUGACGGAGAGGGAGCUAGAAUUCCUGGUGUAGGGGUGGAAUCUGUAGAGAUCAGGAAGAAUACCAAUGGCGAAGGCAAGCUCCUGGCCGAUGACUGACGCU
RNAcentral lists this ribosomal RNA (400 nucleotides) under uncultured bacterium. RNAcentral describes it as "bacterial SSU rRNA". It matches the Rfam family "Bacterial small subunit ribosomal RNA", at positions 355 to 747 of the family's 1533-position model. The record is from RNAcentral.